RNAcentral lists this long non-coding RNA (1235 nucleotides) under Macaca nemestrina (pig-tailed macaque). RNAcentral describes it as "lncRNA (ENSMNEG00000045950.1)". The record is from RNAcentral. Lineage: Eukaryota; Metazoa; Chordata; Mammalia; Primates; Cercopithecidae.
AUGGACCACCGACCUUUCUCCAGAUUAUAUCUUUUGUUUGAGGGGGAAGCUGGAUAUAAACUGGCAGUUAUAAAAAUUGUGAAGAAAUCAACUUGCUCUUUUCAUUAUGUGUUUUUGGUCUCAAGCAUUUUCCAUGAACUGUGUGUGGAUUCAUUGCCUACAUUGGAUAACGAAGACUUGAGUGUUGCUACUAAGCAGUGUGUCCCCAAGAAAUUGUCACAGCCUUCACCUGGACCUUCCCAUGAAAAAGGCAACAGAAUAGUCAAUGGGAAAAGAGAAGGUGAGAAGUGUAUUUUAUUUAAAAAGUCAUUUGAUGGAAUGUUUCUGUUUAAACAGGAACACUAAUAUAGUCUACUAGCUAAAGAAAAUGUCCUAUUAACUAUAAUAAGUAAACGAGAAGUCAAAUGGUGAUAAAUUGUGUCUCUAACCAAGGGUCAGCAGUUGAUUCUAUUGGGAGCACCACUAAAGGACCUGAGUGUGAGUUCCAUUUUAAGAUACUCUAAGACCUGAGACAACUCAGGAGAGAGGGAAGAGGAAAUGAAUAAAGAGAAAGAAAGAAUGAAGACGGCAGAGUGUACAUGUAAUACAUAAAAAAUCAUAUGCGGGCGUAUGUAAUGGAGGGUAGUAAAGUCAAAUUGCUCUGUAGAGGAAGGAAGAACAGGGUGUUAGAAAUAGGAAAGAAGAUAAAGUAAGCCUCCAGUACUAAAAUGUGUCAGCGAAUUAGAGUAACAUUUUCCUACUCUUGCUGUCAUCCUCACUACUGGGGAGGCAUUAAGGAUUGAGGUGCUUUACCACACAGACCUGUGUUUUAUCUACCAUAAAUGAAUAUCACCGUAAAUGGUCAGCCAUGCAUGGCUAUAAUUUAGUUUUAUAGGAAAUGGUGUAAAUUCAUGGGACAGUAUCAUAUAGGCCAAAUUAACAUAGUUGAAAAGAAUGGUGUUGGGUGAUUUAUGGAGAAGAAAUUAAGUAGAGAUGGUAUAGCCUGAUUAAAAGUUCAUUAGAAACAUUAUGGCUUAUAAUGUAGUAUUAAAUUCAGGGACAUAGCAGGGAAGAAAUUGACACUAGGCCAAACAGGGCAAUUAGGGUAAACCAAUAUGCAAGCACAUCAGUGUAGAAAAGGGCAUUCAAAUUGUCAUGAAUUAGUUGAGGAGCUUCUGGAAAGUGCACAUUCUGAUUCAGCAGGUAUGGGAUUCUGUAUUUCUCAUGAGUACUCAGGUGAUGUUAGUGCUGGUCCC